Molecule: long non-coding RNA, 3272 nt
Filed under: Salmo salar (Atlantic salmon)
Lineage: Eukaryota; Metazoa; Chordata; Actinopteri; Salmoniformes; Salmonidae
Description: lncRNA (ENSSSAG00000113686.1)
Source: RNAcentral
CAAGGUCGUUUCUCUUUAAUCAUAUGGUAAUAUAUUAGUUACAGAGACUUGCAUAAGAAGAAGGGGAAUUUACAUUUUUGACUGAUUUGUUUCCAGUAUUGUCAUAGGUGAAAUGUCUGUCAGGUUUCAUGAAAGUAUUUUUUGUGUUCUUAUGGUCCUUGCCGUAGCAUUUCCCUUUUCUCAGUUAUUGGUACCUUGAGGCCAAAAAAACAAACAUCCAGUUUGGCGUUAGGAAAGAUGCCUAUGCCUUGAUUUAAUUUUACAAGCUCAGAUUACUAUUGGACGUCAAAAAAUAGAAAACAGAUAUUACAUUCAGAAAUGCUAUACAUUAUUAUACAUUAAGCCCGCUCAACAUCCUCAUAAUAGACAUUCAAACAAGGUACUAUCUUUUGAAUAUAAACAUUUUAAGAAAGGAAAAUAAAAGGGUUAUUAUUGUUAUUAUAGGAUUGUUAAUUUCUCUAGCUUUUACGUCUUUUCGAAAUCUCAACAAUCUGAUAUUGGUUUAACUAUUGUACUAUAAUUGUAAGCUUGAAGUUAGUCACAUGUAAUGAAUAUUAAUUGUUUAUAAAAGUGCUUCUGUAUAUUGAUUAAUGAGGGAAAUAAGGCUGUAAUGUGGCUGAAAUAGCUAAAUCCACUAAUUUGAAUGGGUGUCCACAUAAUUUUGUAUAUACAGAGUAUAGUGUAUAUAUGCGCAAUACAAAAAUAAGUGAUCUAAUGAUUCUAUCUUCGUGGCAAAAUCUGCAGAGCUGAGAUGGUUGUAUGCCCCAUAUAAAUGUUGCCUUGAAAUUAGAUGACCAUCAUAGGCUUUUCCAAUUCCGUAGAAAAUAUUUGGCAUCUUGAGUUGACAACUGGCCCCGGUUUAGAAUCGGAAAAAGUCCUGUUUCAAAUGAAGUAUUCUUCUUUCUAUUCUUCCUCGUUCAAAAUCUCUAGUUGAACCUGUUCAAUUUGAGAGGCACUGCCAUACGUGUCGACAGAAUCACCACACUCGGCCUCGUAGGUGUGGUAAUUGCCCUUACGCUUGGCGAUGUAGCACAGUACCAGCGCCCCGACCAGCACCAGCACCCCCAACAGAGGAAAAAUUACUUCUGGGAAGGGAGAGAGACGGGUAUAAAUUAGACUGACAAAGGGGAGAAUGGUCUCUGAAAAUAUAGAAUACUCUUAAAGAGUAAUAUGUUUGUUCAUAAGACACGUUAUCAUAGGGGUAAUCAUGAACUAGAACAUCAAAGAAACAUUACAUUUUUAUGUGUUAGUUCAUUGAUUUCAGGUAGGUGGAUCGGCAGGUAGCCUAGCGUUUUAAGAUUGUUGGGCCAGUAACCGAAAGGUCAUUGGUUCAAAUCCCUAAGGUGAAAAAUCUGUCGACCUGCCCUUGAGCGAAGCACUUCUAGAAGUUUCUCUGGAUAAGAGCACCUGCGAAUUGACUUCAAAUGUAAGUCAAAUAAAUGACAUUUCUUGAUAGAGUAAAAAAAAAGAUGUCAGAACGUUGUUUCCUCAGCAUGGCGAGGGAAACGAUAACAAUUAUAUAGGUGAAACCAGAAACAAUUAGUUGAGGACUUUCCAUUUACGUAUACUCAUGGAAUUAGUUCCAUUUUCAGACUAUAGAGAGAACAAUAAUGCUUCCACAUCUGGAUAACCAUCUCUAAAGCUUAGGGGUUAGGCCGGGCUAAUGUAAAGCACCUUGUGACAACUGCUCAUAUAAAAACGGCUUUAAAAAUACAUUGUGAUUGAUAUAUUUCUCACCUAUGAAAAUGGCUUCAAAGGAUCCCUCAUAUGUGUUGGUGGCUCCCACUGCAAAUGACACCAGAACAGACAACACGAUAAUGACAUUAGAGAGACAGGGCCUCGUAGUCAACACACAGAAAUGUACGAUACCUACUGAUUUAUCAUUACAUUUCCCUUCAGAUUUCACCAUACAUUCAUUACGCUAGCUUGUUUGACGCUUGCUUGCGUUGCUUAUCACCGUAGUUUGACUCUGGUUUAGACUAUACAGUACUGACAGAGUUGUGUGUACAGUAUACGAUGUGGCUUUGAGUACAGCUACACUGUUGACUUUAAGUAGCCUAUCUCCUGAUUCUCCUGUGUCUGAAGCACGGAGGCAGCUUGAUGUACAAGUACACCUCCUGGACAGGCCGCUAGUCUAGCGCAGGGCCUGUUGACUGAAUGUUAUUCUCUCACUAAAACAGUGACAGGUAGAAGGUGCCUUUCUACCUGUAAAAAGUGAAGGGAGACUAAAUCAAGAGGAAUGAAGGAGAUGCUAAGUAUAAGUUAUUGCAAUGGAACAGCCGUCCAAUCCACCUUGACUUUAAUCAAGCCAAGGGACACAAACACUCCAAUCAGCUCAAUGUGUGUCAUCCCCUCCACCCAACCUAUCUCACAGUGCAUCCCCAAUACACAUACACACACUUCCCAGAACAACUUCCAGGUGUUUAGUGAAAAAAGUCACACACUUCAAAAGUGCCAAGUAAAAAAAAAAAGAAGUGUGCCGGGGCGCUUCAGUGGGCAAUACCUCAUUAACUCUUAAUUACCUGCUUCAUCAGAGGAGUUAGCCUAUCAUUAAUGAUUCAUUAAUCACUAUCGCAAAAUGUGCAACCCCUUCCAAGGAUGCCUCCCAAAUGGAACCCUAUUCCCCUUCAUAGUGCACUACUUUUGACCAGGGCCCCUGGUGCUCUGGUCAAAAAGUAGCACACUCCAUAGGGAAUGUUGCGCCCACCAAGUCAUUAUCAAGAUACAUGCGUCGAUAACCACCCUCCCUGAACAGGGGCACAAGUGUAGUGGAUGACAUGGCGGAGGUUGAGCUGAGAGUGGGAGAUUGCUGCAUUUAGAAGUGAAAGAGGGUAAGAGGUGUUAGUAGUGUGUGUCAGUACUGAGAGAGUACAUGUUUGAGCAGGGAGAGGAGAGUUCACAGGGUUUUUUAACUCUCACCGUGUGAGGUCAGAGACAGGAUGGUAAUUGAGACUGAGGCAUGUAGGCUUCAGGGAAAGACUACUCUCUCUGUCUGCUCACACACACACACACACACACACACACACGCGCGCAGUGAGAGACUUCAGGGAGAGAUUGCUCGUGCUCGCUCUCGGUCUGCUCACACCCAGCCUUGUCAUAUCCAUAUCCCCCUGCCUCUUCUUACAACAUUUGCAUACGUCUCCCUUUUUAUAUUCAUACAUACACUACAUGACCAAAAGUAUGUGGACACCUGCUUGUUGAACAUCUCAUUCCAGGGACCAACACUCUAGGGGUGUCAGUUUGGGAACACUAUUUCGGUGGAUCACAUAUAA